This 516-nucleotide unclassified non-coding RNA is filed under the name Hevea brasiliensis (rubber tree). Lineage: Eukaryota; Viridiplantae; Streptophyta; Magnoliopsida; Malpighiales; Euphorbiaceae. The record is from RNAcentral.
AAAAAAAAUAAAAGGCAGUUUCAUUAUGGUGGUAUACCAGCCGCCUGUUCUGGAACUUCCAGUUCCAAUCAAAGCAUAUAGAUCCGUAAAUAGAUUUGUAUGUAUAGCCACUUCAGUCGUGCUCGUCGUUUCUCGAAAGUAUCUUUUUUCUGGGAACAUGGUCAACCAGAAAUUAUUAUGUUCGCGAUUCUUCAUCCACCGAUGCAGAAAAUGCUCCAGUUUUCCAUUCUCAUAUGAGGCCGGAAAGUUUAUUAGCAACAGGUCGGCACGAAGUGAUUCAUCAUGCUCAAACAUGAGCCGAUCGUUCGUUAGGGACGGUUUAUAGAUCAUCAAAUUCCCACAAAUGGAAUGAAAAGUGGGUCCAUGUAAAUGAUCGAGACCUCGCAAACAACAACGCUCCUUCCCCAUAUGGAGUUCGGAACCCAAAGGCAAUCGUUGAGUGAACUGUAUCUUCUUUGUGUUAGACAGAAGAACACCCAACAUACAAAUGCACACUCCUCCAUGUGAAAUAUUCAU